AUGCGGGGUUCAGCCUGGCUGCCCCUGCAAGAGGCACAGAGGGGAACCCCUCAGCAAGAACGGCUUGGGAGUCCCAAGUCACCGGGCGGGGGGGCAGCCGGGAGCAGAGGAGGGGAGCAGGCAGCCGCAGCCCCGGGUCCCAGGCAGGCUCUGCCCUCCAGCCCUGAAGGCAGCCAGGCAGCACGGGACAGCUGUGAGCUGAGCAGGAGGAGAGACCUGCUAACACACAGGGAAGCGCCCAGAGAAGGGCCCGUCCUGGAGCGGGGUGCAGCCCUGUCCCGACAGUGGUCAAGCACAGGGGAGCAGGGCCAGCAAGGUGUGGCCGCCCAGCCGGGCUCAGCCAAGGGCCCCGUGGCGCCAGCAUCUGCUGGGCUGUGUGGCAGGGUGGCGGGCAGGCGAGGAGUGGGUGGAGGAGCGCCAGGGGCAGGCAGGGGUCAGGGCAGGAGACCCACCAGGCAGGGUGGGGAUGAGGGAGUUCAGGGGGGCCCAGGGGAGCAGGGUCUCUGCAGGGCUUCACAGGCCCCGGGCUCCGAGUGAGCGAGCCGUGGACCUUUCCUCCCCUCUUGGCUGGAACUCCCCCGCCUUCUGCCGAAUCAACUAUUGAUGAGGCCCUGCAGCGGAGGGUGGGGGUGCAGAUCCCAGGGAGCCCCUCAGCGGCUGUUUCCAGCCUCGCAGAGACUGCAGGGGCCUGGACAAGAUGGGCUAGUUCCUGAGGGCCUGGCCGGCGACACAGUCCGGGCCAUGGCUUCCCGUGGUCAGAGACCUAGGGCACCCUUGGGCGGGGUGGGGGGAUGCCACCCUUCCGUUGGGGACCAGGGGGUG
RNAcentral lists this long non-coding RNA (822 nucleotides) under Ovis aries (sheep). RNAcentral's name for it is "lncRNA (ENSOARG00000025708.1)". Lineage: Eukaryota; Metazoa; Chordata; Mammalia; Artiodactyla; Bovidae. The record is from RNAcentral.